This 572-nucleotide long non-coding RNA is filed under the name Musa acuminata (dwarf banana). Its description in RNAcentral is "long non-coding RNA (MACU_LNC000487)". The record is from RNAcentral. Lineage: Eukaryota; Viridiplantae; Streptophyta; Magnoliopsida; Zingiberales; Musaceae.
UUCAACUGAAGUCUCUGCUGCAUUUAUUGAUCGCUUUUUCUGCAACACACUUGACUCGAUUCGAGCUGCUAUUUAUCAUACCAUUGAAAUUGUACUUUUUUCAUUAAAACAACUUAAGAAAGACAAGUUAUUGGCAAAAGAACAAGAACCUUAUGAUAUAGGCCAUGGAGUAAGAAAUCUGAGUGAAACAUGGAUAAGUUGCAGAUGUCCUUUGCCUUGAUUACUACCCUGCUGUCGAUGUGCUUCUUUGAGCAUGAGUGGCUGAACAUAUUCGAGGAACAGGAUCUAUGGACAUCAGAUAUAUCUAUGGCUGACUUCUCCUCUGCACCCUUUCUCCAUUACGCACCGGACUGGGCACUCUGUGCUGAAAUAUAUCCACCUCCAUUACCAUCUCACAAAGCAAAGUAGGCUGGCUUUCGUGGCUAUCAUCAUUUGAUAUCUGAAGAUUGCUCACUCAAUCACAUCGUAUAAGCUUUGGGUCAGUUUAGCAGAUUACAUGACAGCAUGAGAUUCCAAGCAGCAGUUUCGGUUACAUUUAUCUUCAUCUAUACCAUAAAAGAACUCAUGCUGCU